AACGAACGCUGGCGGCAGGCCUAACACAUGCAAGUCGAACGCCCUAGCAAUAGGGAGUGGCAGACGGGUGAGUAACGCGUGGGAACGUGCCCUUCGGUUCGGAAUAACUCAGGGAAACUUGAGCUAAUACCGGAUACGUGCGAGAGCAGAAAGAUUUAUCGCCGAAGGAUCGGCCCGCGUUCGAUUAGCUAGUUGGUGAGGUAAUGGCUCACAAAGGCGACGAUCGAUAGCUGGUCUGAGAGGAUGAUCAGCCACACUGGGACUGAGACACGGCCCAGACUCCUACGGGAGGCAGCAGUGGGGAAUAUUGGACAAUGGGCGCAAGCCUGAUCCAGCCAUGCCGCGUGAGUGAUGAAGGCCCUAGGGUUGUAAGGCUCUUUCGCCAGGGACGAUAAUGACGGUACCUGGAUAAGAAGCCCCGGCUAACUUCGUGCCAGCCGCCGCAGUAA
Molecule: ribosomal RNA, 449 nt
Filed under: uncultured bacterium
Lineage: Bacteria
Description: partial 16S ribosomal RNA
Rfam family: Bacterial small subunit ribosomal RNA
Source: RNAcentral